GCAUGUCUAAGUAUAAGCAACUUGUACUGUGAAACUGCGAAUGGCUCAUUAAAUCAGUUAUCGUUUAUUUGAUAGUACCUUACUACAUGGAUACCUGUGGUAAUUCUAGAGCUAAUACAUGCUAAAAACCCCGACUUCAGGAAGGGGUGUAUUUAUUAGAUAAAAAACCAACGCCCUUCGGGGCUCCUUGGUGAAUCAUAAUAACUUAACGAAUCGCAUGGCCUUGCGCCGGCGAUGGUUCAUUCAAAUUUCUGCCCUAUCAACUUUCGAUGGUAGGAUAGUGGCCUACCAUGGUGGCAACGGGUAACGGGGAAUUAGGGUUCGAUUCCGGAGAGGGAGCCUGAGAAACGGCUACCACAUCCAAGGAAGGCAGCAGGCGCGCAAAUUACCCAAUCCCGAUACGGGGAGGUAGUGACAAUAAAUACUGAUACGGGGCUCUUUUGGGUCUCGUAAUUGGAAUGAGAACAAUUUAAAUCCCUUAACGAGGAACAAUUGGAGGGCAAGUCUGGUGCCAGCAGCCGCGGUAAUUCCAGCUCCAAUAGCGUAUAUUAAAGUUGUUGCAGUUAAAAAGCUCGUAGUUGAACCUUGGGUCUGGCUGGCCGGUCCGCCUCACCGCGAGUACUGGUCCGGCUGGACCUUUCCUUCUGGGGAACCUCAUGGCCUUCACUGGCUGUGGGGGGAACCAGGACUUUUACUGUGAAAAAAUUAGAGUGUUCAAAGCAGGCCUUUGCUCGAAUACAUUAGCAUGGAAUAAUAGAAUAGGACGUGUGGUUCUAUUUUGUUGGUUUCUAGGACCGCCGUAAUGAUUAAUAGGGAUAGUCGGGGGCGUCAGUAUUCAGCUGUCAGAGGUGAAAUUCUUGGAUUUGCUGAAGACUAACUACUGCGAAAGCAUUCGCCAAGGAUGUUUUCAUUAAUCAGGGAACGAAAGUUAGGGGAUCGAAGACGAUCAGAUACCGUCGUAGUCUNNACCAUAAACUAUGCCGACUAGGGAUCGGACGGGAUUCUAUAAUGACCCGUUCGGCACCUUACGAGAAAUNNAANUUUUUGGGUUCUGGGGGGAGUNUNGNCG
This 1069-nucleotide ribosomal RNA is filed under the name Penicillium digitatum. Its description in RNAcentral is "SSU rRNA". It matches the Rfam family "Eukaryotic small subunit ribosomal RNA", at positions 53 to 1131 of the family's 1831-position model. Lineage: Eukaryota; Fungi; Ascomycota; Eurotiomycetes; Eurotiales; Aspergillaceae. The record is from RNAcentral.